CCCCCGAGUCCUCUCUCCCGAAGGUUGUCAUUCCCACCAAUGAAACCCUUGUUACGUCCAUCAUGUGCACCCCACCGGAGCUCCAAAAUGACGAGGAGACAAGCAAAACUGCAAGAUUCGGCGAUCUUAAUCCUAAUCCCCCUGUUCUUCAAGCUGACCCGUCCUUCAUUCUCAUGGAUUCAUUGUCGUCACAUGGAAAAUCAACUGCGCAGCAGAGGCCACAUCAUAGGGCAGCGGUCGUACUGAGAGUCGGCAUCGAGCGUGGGUGUGGGCGCGUGUGCAGCGAUGCUCCCCAAACGAGCACACCUAGCU
This 312-nucleotide unclassified non-coding RNA is filed under the name Zea mays. RNAcentral's name for it is "misc RNA Zm00001eb168420". The record is from RNAcentral. Lineage: Eukaryota; Viridiplantae; Streptophyta; Magnoliopsida; Poales; Poaceae.